Non-coding RNA from Pelobates cultripes (western spadefoot toad), 337 nucleotides. The record is from the annotation of a GenBank genome assembly. Lineage: Eukaryota; Metazoa; Chordata; Amphibia; Anura; Pelobatidae.
GCAAAUGUAUUAGACUGUCUCAGCAUACAUAAUGCUGUUAGAGGAAAGGAUAUAUUACUGCCAAGUCAUGCUGAAGGAUUUCAUUCGCUAAUAUAAAUAUGGGUUAUAUAAGGUAAACAUUCAAAGCAAGUCUGAUACAAAAAUAAACAGAUCGAUUCUACAGACAGACAGACAGUUCGGCAAUGCAAUAAAUGCACCAUGUAUGUGGAUCCUGUAAGAUAUGUUUAAAAAGGCCUCCUUAACUCACACUCAAAAACAACAUCUACCCUUUUUUUUCCUGGAUGUAGGAGUCAUUUAGUGUAAACAUGUCAAACUCAAGUGAGCUUAAAAAUAACAA